Molecule: ribosomal RNA, 801 nt
Filed under: Escherichia coli
Lineage: Bacteria; Pseudomonadati; Pseudomonadota; Gammaproteobacteria; Enterobacterales; Enterobacteriaceae
Description: partial 23S ribosomal RNA
Rfam family: Bacterial large subunit ribosomal RNA
Source: RNAcentral
UGAAUAUGGGGGGACCAUCCUCCAAGGCUAAAUACUCCUGACUGACCGAUAGUGAACCAGUACCGUGAGGGAAAGGCGAAAAGAACCCCGGCGAGGGGAGUGAAAAAGAACCUGAAACCGUGUACGUACAAGCAGUGGGAGCACAGAGCAAUCUGUGUGACUGCGUACCUUUUGUAUAAUGGGUCAGCGACUUAUAUUCUGUAGCAAGGUUAACCGAAUAGGGGAGCCGAAGGGAAACCGAGUCUUAACCGGGCGUUAAGUUGCAGGGUAUAGACCCGAAACCCGGUGAUCUAGCCAUGGGCAGGUUGAAGGUUGGGUAACACUAACUGGAGGACCGAACCGACUAAUGUUGAAAAAUUAGCGGAUGACUUGUGGCUGGGGGUGAAAGGCCAAUCAAACCGGGAGAUAGCUGGUUCUCCCCGAAAGCUAUUUAGGUAGCGCCUCGUGAAUUCAUCUCCGGGGGUAGAGCACUGUUUCGGCAAGGGGGUCAUCCCGACUUACCAACCCGAUGCAAACUGCGAAUACCGGAGAAUGUUAUCACGGGAGACACACGGCGGGUGCUAACGUCCGUCGUGAAGAGGGAAACAACCCAGACCGCCAGCUAAGGUCCCAAAGUCAUGGUUAAGUGGGAAACGAUGUGGGAAGGCCCAGACAGCCAGGAUGUUGGCUUAGAAGCAGCCAUCAUUUAAAGAAAGCGUAAUAGCUCACUGGUCGAGUCGGCCUGCGCGGAAGAUGUAACGGGGCUAAACCAUGCACCGAAGCUGCGGCAGCGACACUGUGUGUUGUUGGGUAGGGGAGCGU